CAUGUGACUGGUGUGGCAUCAUGUGACUGGUGUGGUAUCAUGACAGUAUCAUGUGACUGGUGUGGUAUCAUGUGACUGGUGUGGCAUCAUGUGACUGGUGUGGUAUCAUGUGACUGGUGUGGCAUCAUGUGACUGGUGUGGCAUCAUGUGACUGGUGUGGCAUCAUGUGACUGGUGUGGUAUCAUGACAGUAUCAUGUGACUGGUGUGGCAUCAUGUGACUGGUGUGGCAUCAUGACAGUAUCAUGUGACUGGUGUGGCAUCAUGACAGUAUCAUGUGACUGGUGUGGCAUCAUGUGACUGGUGUGGCAUCAUGACAGUAUCAUGUGACUGGUGUGGCAUCAUGACAGUAUCAUGUGACUGGUGUGGUAUCAUGUGACUGGUGUGGCAUCAUGACAGUAUCAUGUGACUGGUGUGGCAUCAUGACAGUAUCAUGUGACUGGUGUGGCAUCAUGACAGUAUCAUGUGACUGGUGUGGCAUCAUGUGACUGGUGUGGCAUCAUGACAGUAUCAUGUGACUGGUGUGGUAUCAUGUAUCAUGACUGGUGUGGCAUCAUGUGACUGGUGUGGCAUCAUGACAGUAUCAUGUGACUGGUGUGGCAUCAUGACAGUAUCAUGUGACUGGUGUGGUAUCAUGUGACUGGUGUGGCAUCAUGACAGUAUCAUGUGACUGGUGUGGCAUCAUGUGACUGGUGUGGUAUCAUGUGACAGGUGUGGCAUCAUGUGACUGGUGGGCAUCAUGUGACUGGUGUGGUAUCAUGUGACUGGUGUGGCAUCAUGUGACUGGUGUGGUAUCAUGUGACUGGUGUGGCAUCAUGACAGUAUCAUGUGACUGGUGUGGCAUCAUGACAGUAUCAUGAGACUGGUGUGGUAUCAUGACAGUAUCAUGUGACUGGUAUAUCAGUGGUUAGGGUUUGGAGUUUUACCUGACUAGGAAUAACUCCUGGCCUUAACAAUGAUGACAAUAUUCACGUUUCUCAAAAAAAUCCUGUUUCCUCACUGAAAUGUCUACUCGUGUCUGUUUUUACAGUGCUUUCUAAAUGUUUUCAAGAACCACACGAGUCACUUCCUCAGUUCUUCCAGACGGGUGAUGUUCUGACAGAGCGGUAUGAACUCACACACAACCUGAAUGUAGUUUAUUACAUUAUUACAUUAAAAUAAAGUUUAUUACAUUAAAAUGUUUUAUUUGUUUACAUAA
Long non-coding RNA from Oncorhynchus tshawytscha (Chinook salmon), 1196 nucleotides. Lineage: Eukaryota; Metazoa; Chordata; Actinopteri; Salmoniformes; Salmonidae. The record is from Ensembl.